UUGAAAUGUGGAUGCAUACU
RNAcentral lists this unclassified non-coding RNA (20 nucleotides) under Mus musculus (house mouse). RNAcentral's name for it is "oocyte_clustered_small_RNA12353". Lineage: Eukaryota; Metazoa; Chordata; Mammalia; Rodentia; Muridae. The record is from RNAcentral.